AUGGAGGCCUUUAGAGAUACAGUUGAAUACUGCAGAUUUGAUGACUUGGGUUACUAUGGGACACCUUAUACAUGGGAUAACCGACAGCAUGGUGAUAGAAAUAUAAAAGUCAGACUUGACAGAGUGUUGGAAGAUGAUAAAUUUACAGAGUAUUUUGAUAAUACUUCUGUGAAUCAUGUGCAAUGUGGCGAAUCUGAUCAUUGUGCUUUGUUAAUUUCUGUAAGAAAAUCGGAAUGGAUUGAAGAGAACCAAGGAGGACGACCUUUUUACUUCGAGAAUGCAUGGACUAGGCAUGAUCGGUAUACUCAUAUAGUGGAAGAGGCCUGGCAAGGGGGUGCGAAUAAUAUGGAGGACAUCUACCAUGCUCUAGGUGCAGUUCGAGAGAAGCUGGAAAACUGGAACAGGACUGAAUUUGGUUCUGUAAAGAAGCAACUAAAGACUAUGCGGGCUCGGCUAAAUAAUUUAAGGGAACGAUCUCUUCGGUCUGGUCCAACUAAGGAGGAAAAGGAUUUAAUGAAUAGGAUUUCAGAAUUGCUAGCAAGGGAAGAGGCGAAUAGAGAAGCAACGUUCUAG
RNAcentral lists this ribosomal RNA (573 nucleotides) under Triticum aestivum (bread wheat). RNAcentral's name for it is "partial small subunit ribosomal RNA". Lineage: Eukaryota; Viridiplantae; Streptophyta; Magnoliopsida; Poales; Poaceae. The record is from RNAcentral.